RNAcentral lists this ribosomal RNA (207 nucleotides) under uncultured bacterium. RNAcentral describes it as "partial 16S ribosomal RNA". It matches the Rfam family "Bacterial small subunit ribosomal RNA", at positions 568 to 774 of the family's 1533-position model. The record is from RNAcentral.
AGCGCAGGCGGGAAGGCAAGUUGGAAGUGAAAUCUAUGGGCUCAACCCAUAAACUGCUUUCAAAACUGUUUUUCUUGAGUAGUGCAGAGGUAGGCGGAAUUCCCGGUGUAGCGGUGGAAUGCGUAGAUAUCGGGAGGAACACCAGUGGCGAAGGCGGCCUACUGGGCACCAACUGACGCUGAGGCUCGAAAGUGUGGGUAGCAAACA